GAUGAACGCUGGCGGCGUGCCUAAUACAUGCAAGUCGAGCGAACAGACGAGGAGCUUGCUCCUCUGACGUUAGCGGUGGACGGGUGAGUAACACGUGGAUAACCUACCUAUAAGACUGGGAUAACUUCGGGAAACCGGAGCUAAUACCGGAUAAUAUAUUGAACCGCAUGGUUCAAUAGUGAAAGACGGUUUUGCUGUCACUUAUAGAUGGAUCCGCGCCGCAUUAGCUAGUUGGUAAGGUAUCGGCUUACCAAGGCAACGAUGCGUAGCCGACCUGAGAGGGUGAUCGGCCACACUGGAACUGAGACACGGUCCAGACUCCUACGGGAGGCAGCAGUAGGGAAUCUUCCGCAAUGGGCGAAAGCCUGACGGAGCAACGCCGCGUGAGUGAUGAAGGUCUUCGGAUCGUAAAACUCUGUUAUUAGGGAAGAACAAAUGUGUAAGUAACUAUGCACGUCUUGACGGUACCUAAUCAGAAAGCCACGGCUAACUACGUG
This 497-nucleotide ribosomal RNA is filed under the name uncultured bacterium. RNAcentral's name for it is "partial 16S ribosomal RNA". It matches the Rfam family "Bacterial small subunit ribosomal RNA", at positions 28 to 507 of the family's 1533-position model. The record is from RNAcentral.